ACACGGGGAUUGCCUCAGUACGGCGAGUGAAGCGGCAACAGCUCAAAUUUGAAAUCUGGCCCCUUCGGGGUCCGAGUUGUAAUUUGUAGAGAGUGCUUCGGGUGAGACCACGGUCUAAGUCUAUUGGAACAUUACGUCAUAGAGGGUGAGAACCCCGUAUGUGACCGUGGCUCGAGCCCAUGUGAAGCCUCUUCGACGAGUCGAGUUGUUUGGGAAUGCAGCUCAAAAUGGGUGGUAAAUUUCAUCUAAAGCUAAAUACUGGCUGGAGACCGAUAGCGCACAAGUAGAGUGAUCGAAAGAUGAAAAGCACUUUGGAAAGAGAGUCAAACAGUACGUGAAAUUGUUGAAAGGGAAGCGCUGGCAACCAGACCUGUCCGUAGACGAUCAGCCGCUGUUCUCAGUGGUGCACUCGUUCUGCGAUCAGGCCAGCAUCGGUUUCGGCGGUCGGAUAAAGGCCUGGGGAACGUAGCUCCCUUUCGGGGGAGUGUUAUAGCCCCGGGCGCAAUGCGGCCAGCCGGGACCGAGGACCGCGCUUCGGCUAGGAUGCUGGCGUAAUGGUUGUCAGCGACCCGUCUUGAAACACGGACCAAGGAGUCUAACAUCUAUGCGAGUGUUUGGGUGUCAAACCCAUGCGCGGAAUGAAAGUGAACGGAGGUGAGAACCCUUUAGGGCGCAUCAUCGACCGAUCCAGAUGUCUUCGGAUGGAUUUGAGUAUGAGCAUAGCUGUUGGGACCCGAAAGAUGGUGAACUAUGCCUGAAUAGGGUGAAGCCAGAGGAAACUCUGGUGGAGGCUCGCAGCGGUUCUGACGUGCAAAUCGAUCGUCAAAUUUGGGUAUAGGGGCGAAAGACUAAUCGAACCAUCUAUAGGUGGUUAAUAAAUGUAUAUCGUUUCACGAAUACUUUCAGUCCCUCGGGGCGACAUCACUAUUUGCAUGAACAAACCUUUUGGUUAACAUGCUGCAGUUCUUCUCACUCAUGUGGGUCCUGUUCACAGACCAAAUAGUGGUGGCCGGGCUAUUCUUCCCGGGAAUGCUUGGUUUAGAAAUGGCCGAGUCCGACUCCUAAUGAGUC
This 1071-nucleotide ribosomal RNA is filed under the name Hypotrachyna sorocheila. RNAcentral's name for it is "LSU rRNA". It matches the Rfam family "Eukaryotic large subunit ribosomal RNA", at positions 66 to 1047 of the family's 3401-position model. Lineage: Eukaryota; Fungi; Ascomycota; Lecanoromycetes; Lecanorales; Parmeliaceae. The record is from RNAcentral.